RNAcentral lists this ribosomal RNA (706 nucleotides) under bacterium. RNAcentral describes it as "bacterial SSU rRNA". It matches the Rfam family "Bacterial small subunit ribosomal RNA", at positions 386 to 1083 of the family's 1533-position model. The record is from RNAcentral.
ACGGAGCAACGCCGCGUGAGUGAUGAAGGUUUUCGGAUCGUAAAGCUCUGUUGUUAGGGAAGAACAAGUGCGAGAGUAACUGCUCGCACCUUGACGGUACCUAACCAGAAAGCCACGGCUAACUACGUGCCAGCAGCCGCGGUAAUACGUAGGUGGCAAGCGUUGUCCGGAAUUAUUGGGCGUAAAGGGCUCGCAGGCGGUUUCUUAAGUCUGAUGUGAAAGCCCCCGGCUCAACCGGGGAGGGUCAUUGGAAACUGGGAAACUUGAGUGCAGAAGAGGAGAGUGGAAUUCCACGUGUAGCGGUGAAAUGCGUAGAGAUGUGGAGGAACACCAGUGGCGAAGGCGACUCUCUGGUCUGUAACUGACGCUGAGGAGCGAAAGCGUGGGGAGCGAACAGGAUUAGAUACCCUGGUAGUCCACGCCGUAAACGAUGAGUGCUAAGUGUUAGGGGGUUUCCGCCCCUUAGUGCUGCAGCUAACGCAUUAAGCACUCCGCCUGGGGAGUACGGUCGCAAGACUGAAACUCAAAGGAAUUGACGGGGGCCCGCACAAGCGGUGGAGCAUGUGGUUUAAUUCGAAGCAACGCGAAGAACCUUACCAGGUCUUGACAUCCUCUGACAACCCUAGAGAUAGGGCUUUCCCUUCGGGGACAGAGUGACAGGUGGUGCAUGGUUGUCGUCAGCUCGUGUCGUGAGAUGUUGGGUUAA